RNAcentral lists this ribosomal RNA (253 nucleotides) under uncultured bacterium. Its description in RNAcentral is "partial 16S ribosomal RNA". It matches the Rfam family "Bacterial small subunit ribosomal RNA", at positions 524 to 776 of the family's 1533-position model. The record is from RNAcentral.
CACGAACCGUACGAACGUUAUUCGGAAUCACUGGGCUUAAAGAGUCCGUAGGCGGUCUGGUAGGUGAGGUGUGAAAUCCCACGGCUCAACCGUGGAAUUGCGCUUCAAACCACCAGACUAGAGGGAGAUAGAGGAGAGCGGAACUGAUGGUGGAGCGGUGAAAUGCGUUGAUAUCAUCAGGAACACCGGUGGCGAAAGCGGCUCUCUGGGUCUCUUCUGACGCUGAGGGACGAAAGCUAGGGGAGCGAACGGG